This 446-nucleotide ribosomal RNA is filed under the name uncultured bacterium. RNAcentral's name for it is "partial 16S ribosomal RNA". It matches the Rfam family "Bacterial small subunit ribosomal RNA", at positions 338 to 795 of the family's 1533-position model. The record is from RNAcentral.
CCUACGGGAGGCAGCAGUCGAGAAUCAUUCACAAUGGGGGAAACCCUGAUGGUGCGACGCCGCGUGGGGGAAUGAAGGUCUUCGGAUUGUAAACCCCUGUCAUGUGGGAGCAAAUUAAAAAGAUAGUACCACAAGAGGAAGAGACGGCUAACUCUGUGCCAGCAGCCGCGGUAAUACAGAGGUCCCAAGCGUUGUUCGGAAUCACUGGGCGUAAAGCGUGCGUAGGCUGUUUCGUAAGUCGUGUGUGAAAGGCGCGGGCUCAACCCGCGGACGGCACAUGAUACUGCGAGACUAGAGUAAGGGAGGGGGAACCGGAAUUCUCGGUGUAGCAGUGAAAUGCGUAGAUAUCGAGAGGAACACUCGUGGCGAAGGCGGGUUCCUGGACAUUAACUGACGCUGAGGCACGAAGGCCAGGGGAGCGAAAGGGAUUAGAUACCCCUGUAGUC